GGACGAACGCUGGCGGCGUGCUUAACACAUGCAAGUCGAGCGGUAAGGCCCUUUCGGGGGUACACGAGCGGCGAACGGGUGAGUAACACGUGGGUGACCUGCCCUCAGCUCUGGGAUAAGCCUGGGAAACCGGUCUAAUACUGGAUAUGACUCCAUGACGCAUGUUGUGGGGUGGAAAGCCUUGUGCGGCUGAGGAUGGGCCCGCGGCCUAUCAGCUUGUUGGUGGGGUGANGGCCUACCAAGGCGACGACGGGUAGCCGGCCUGAGAGGGCGACCGGCCACACUGGGACUGAGACACGGCCCAGACUCCUACGGGAGGCAGGCAGGUGGGGAAUCUUGCGCAAUGGGCGAAAGCCUGACGCAGCGACGCCGCGUGAGGGAUGACGGCCCUCGGGUUGUAAACCUCUUUCAGCUCCGACGAAGCGAGAGUGACGGUAGGAGCAGAAGAAGCACCGGCCAACUACGUGCCAGCCGCCGCGGU
This 481-nucleotide ribosomal RNA is filed under the name uncultured bacterium. RNAcentral describes it as "bacterial SSU rRNA". It matches the Rfam family "Bacterial small subunit ribosomal RNA", at positions 27 to 521 of the family's 1533-position model. The record is from RNAcentral.